CAGUAGCCGCGGUAAUACGUAGGUGGCAAGCGUUGUCCGGAAUUAUUGGGCGUAAAGGGCUCGCAGGCGGUUUCUUAAGUCUGAUGUGAAAGCCCCCGGCUCAACCGGGGAGGGUCAUUGGAAACUGGGAAACUUGAGUGCAGAAGAGGAGAGUGGAAUUCCACGUGUAGCGGUGAAAUGCGUAGAGAUGUGGAGGAACACCAGUGGCGAAGGCGACUCUCUGGUCUGUAACUGACGCUGAGGAGCAAAAGCGUGGGGAGCGAACAGGAUUAGAUACCCCUGUAGUCCCUGUCUCUUAUAC
Molecule: ribosomal RNA, 301 nt
Filed under: uncultured bacterium
Lineage: Bacteria
Description: partial 16S ribosomal RNA
Rfam family: Bacterial small subunit ribosomal RNA
Source: RNAcentral